CUUGUGACCCACCCGGUGGCUCCCGGCCGGUCAGGCCCUGAUCUCACUUCCCCGAUGUCAGGUCCGGCCCGGAAGGGAACCACUGGAGGGGGCACCCACCAG
Molecule: regulatory RNA element, 102 nt
Organism: Tessaracoccus sp. ZS01
Lineage: Bacteria; Bacillati; Actinomycetota; Actinomycetes; Propionibacteriales; Propionibacteriaceae
Rfam family: mraW RNA
Source: Rfam